UAAGCAGAGCGUGAAAGCGUACGGCUCAACCGUAUAUACAUGUUCUGAACUGGUAAACUAGAGGAUGAGAGAGGUUAUUGGAAUUGCUAGUGUAGGAGUGAAAUCCGUAGAUAUUAGCAGGAACACCGAUGGCGUAGGCAGAUAACUGGCUCAUACCUGACACUAAGGCACGAAAGCGUGGGGAGCGAACGGGAUUAGAUACCCCGGUAGUCCACGCCGUAAACGAUGGAUGCUA
Molecule: ribosomal RNA, 235 nt
Filed under: uncultured Candidatus Saccharibacteria bacterium
Lineage: Bacteria; Candidatus Saccharimonadota
Description: partial 16S ribosomal RNA
Rfam family: Bacterial small subunit ribosomal RNA
Source: RNAcentral